UACGGAGGAUGCGAGCGUUAUCCGGAUUUAUCGGGUUUAAAGGGUGCGCAGGCGGCACGGCAAGCCGGCGGUCAAAUCGCGGGGCUCAACCCCGCCCAGCCGUCGGAACUGCCGGGCUAGAGUGGGCGAGAAGUGCGCGGAAUGCGUGGUGUAGCGGUGAAAUGCAUAGAUAUCACGCAGAACUCCGAUUGCGAAGGCAGCGCACCGGCGCCCUACUGACGCUCAGGCACGAAAGCGUGGGUAUCGAACAGG
This 252-nucleotide ribosomal RNA is filed under the name uncultured bacterium. Its description in RNAcentral is "partial 16S ribosomal RNA". It matches the Rfam family "Bacterial small subunit ribosomal RNA", at positions 524 to 776 of the family's 1533-position model. The record is from RNAcentral.